GCCGGAAUAACUCAGUUGGUAGAGUAACUGAUUCGUAAUCAGUAAGUCGCGCGUUCGAGUCGCGUUUCCGGCU
Molecule: transfer RNA, 73 nt
Filed under: Candidatus Coprocola pullicola
Lineage: Bacteria; Bacillati; Bacillota; Clostridia; Eubacteriales; Clostridiaceae
Description: tRNA-Thr
Rfam family: tRNA
About the family: Transfer RNA (tRNA) molecules are approximately 80 nucleotides in length. Their secondary structure includes four short double-helical elements and three loops (D, anti-codon, and T loops). Further hydrogen bonds mediate the characteristic L-shaped molecular structure. tRNAs have two regions of fundamental functional importance: the anti-codon, which is responsible for specific mRNA codon recognition, and the 3' end, to which the tRNAs corresponding amino acid is attached (by aminoacyl-tRNA synthetases). tRNAs cope with the degeneracy of the genetic code in two manners: having more than one tRNA (with a specific anti-codon) for a particular amino acid; and 'wobble' base-pairing, i.e. permitting non-standard base-pairing at the 3rd anti-codon position.
Source: RNAcentral